Molecule: unclassified non-coding RNA, 213 nt
Filed under: Hevea brasiliensis (rubber tree)
Lineage: Eukaryota; Viridiplantae; Streptophyta; Magnoliopsida; Malpighiales; Euphorbiaceae
Source: RNAcentral
GACUCCAGCUUUCUUGGGCCGCCUCUGAGCAAUUUGGUUUUCAACCUCUUUCUUGACAGGUUCUUCCUUCUCAGACAAAAUAAGCUCAAUAUGGCAGGGAGACGACAUAUAAGGAUUAAUACGCCCAUGAGCACGGUAUGUUCUGCGUCUCUGCUUCUGAGCUUGAUUAACCUGAAUGUGAGAUACAUAAAGAGCAUCGACAUCCAAGCCCUU